AGCCUGUAAUUAUUAUUGUCAAAUCAAAUAAAUUAUUUAUCUAUAAAUAACUUCAUGCAAAAUUAAUUACCGCAACAUGAAACUGAGCUCAUAACCAACAAACUAUUGAGUUGAUUUUUUUUCCAAUCAAAUAAUGACUUAUGUUAAGCUCUCUCCUAUGGUUGUGUUCUUUCUUGCCACAUUUGCAAUGUUGUUGAUGACAAAGGGAAAAACACAAUUUUGUACUGGUAGUAAUUGUACAGUAGUAGGUGAUUCACAAUGUGGUGAUGGUUGUUAUUGUGCUCCAUCAUUGUUUCCACUUGGUGUCUGUGCCCCCGUAUUCAAUUUUGAUGUUUUCCUGAAUAUGACCAUAUGAUAUGUCAAUCUCAUGAUGAAUCUAUACUUUAAAUAAAUAGUUUGUUUCCAACUAAUGAGUUGGAUUUCAUUAAAUGAUGCAUGUAAAUGGGGGUGCAACUUAAAUAUAUGUUGUUACUUAGCAAAUAUUGUUAUGAAUCACUAUUAAUUGUUAUAUAAUAUUCUUCCUAUAUAACAAUGCUAUGCAAUAAAAAUUGGUAUAGUUACAAGCA
Cicer arietinum (chickpea) is the source of this 566-nucleotide long non-coding RNA. RefSeq lists it as uncharacterized. The record is from RefSeq and is a predicted model, not a curated record. Lineage: Eukaryota; Viridiplantae; Streptophyta; Magnoliopsida; Fabales; Fabaceae.